CCGGCCGCCAGCGGCACUUGCAAAAUUUGGAUCCGCAAGGACCGGGGCAGCGGGACGUCCGCGUGGCAGGGUGCACUUUCUCCGCGGUCGAGUGCUACGACCGGUUUCGCGGCGGUCAGAAGCCCGGCGGAAAGGUAGCGCCGCCCCUCGGGGUGUCGUGUUAUAGGCCGCCGCGGUGGACUCGCCGCGAGACCGAGGACGCUUGCCGCGCCGAGCGGUCCCGGGCCGUCUUGGGAGGUUCGACCUCGGCUGCACUGCUCCGCAGAGCACCGUAACCGCCGCCCUAGCACGGGUCCGGAGACUGCCGGCGCCUCGGGUCAGUAGCG
Molecule: ribosomal RNA, 326 nt
Filed under: Corbicula sp. CFG2a
Lineage: Eukaryota; Metazoa; Mollusca; Bivalvia; Venerida; Cyrenidae
Description: partial 28S ribosomal RNA
Source: RNAcentral